CCGGUGGCGAAGGCGGCCCCCUGGACAAAGACUGACGCUCAGGUGCGAAAAGCGUGGGGAGCAAACAGGAUUAGAUACCCUGGUAGUCACGCGUAAACGAUGUCGACUUGGAGGUUGUGCCCUGAGGCGUGGCUUCCGGAGCUAACGCGUUAAGUCGACCGCCUGGGGAGUACGGCCGCAAGGUUAAAACUCAAAUGAAUUGACGGGGGCCCGCACAAGCGGUGGAGCAUGUGGUUUAAUUCGAGGCAACGCGAAGAACCUUACCAAGGCUUGACAUAUACCGGAAGGCCCUAGAGAUAGGGAGAUCUUUGGACACUGGUAUACAGGUGGUGCAUGGUUGUCGUCAGCUCGUGUCGUGAGAUGUUGGGUUAAGUCCCGCAACGAGCGCAACCCUUGUCCUAUGUUGCCAGCACGUAAUGGUGGGGACUCAUGGGAGACUGCCGGGGUUAACUCGGAGGAAGGUGGGGAUGACGUCAAAUCAUCAUGCCCCUUAUGUCUUGGGCUUCACGCAUGCUACAAUGGUCGGUACAGAGGGUUGCGAUACUGUGAGGUGGAGCGAAUCCCUUAAAGCCGGUCUCAGUUCGGAUCGAAGUCUGCAACUCGACUUCGUGAAGGUGGAGUCGCUAGUAAUCGCAGAUCAGCAACGCUGCGGUGAAUACGUUCUCGGGCCUUGUACACACCGCCCGUCACGUCAUGAAAGUUGGUAACACCCGAAGCCCGUGGCCUAACCUUUUUGGGGGGAGCGGUCGAAGGUGGGAUUGGCGAUUGGGACGAUGUCUAACAAGGUAACCGUAA
This 795-nucleotide ribosomal RNA is filed under the name uncultured bacterium. Its description in RNAcentral is "bacterial SSU rRNA". It matches the Rfam family "Bacterial small subunit ribosomal RNA", at positions 709 to 1505 of the family's 1533-position model. The record is from RNAcentral.